Molecule: non-coding RNA, 1319 nt
Organism: Vicugna pacos (alpaca)
Lineage: Eukaryota; Metazoa; Chordata; Mammalia; Artiodactyla; Camelidae
Source: RefSeq, a predicted model, not a curated record
CAGAGAGGCAGAUAUAUUCUUAAGAGGUUUAUCAGAUGUGAGAAGUUAGCUGUUGCCCAGUAUUUCUCAACUUCUUGUGGAUUUGGAUAAACAUUCCCUGAUGGAUUCUUACUUGUUGACUAUUAUGAAAAAUGAGGAGAGGCUGUAGUCCAUAGGGCAGGAACUCAUGAAAGAAAGAUGGAUGUGAACUGGGGGAGGCAAGAACAAACUGAAAACUGGGGUUGAGCUGGACAUCAACAGGGUGGACAGGAACUCAGGAGCUGGAGAAACUGAUGGAGGAGAAUUGGUAGGAGCUAGAGUUGCUGUAAGUCUGGCAGUUGCCCCACACUAGCUGGGUGAGCCAGCAGAUAACAGACAACUAUAACACUUGCUGGUGUUCUGCACUGACACUACAAGUUUUAAAAGAUGGCUGCUACUUCGUUUCUGCCUUCUAACUCUCAUGUAAAAAAUCCCUCAUGGUCCUGGAGCUAUGUGUUGGGCAACAGUUCUUCAUGGUUCUCUCAUUUUCCUGUACACCUUGAGAGCAAAGACAAUGUCAGACUUUAUUCUGAAAUAUCUUUUAAAAAAAUAUUUUUCUUGAAAGAAAGAGAGAGUGUUUUCCAUUGGGACAGAGUGCAGAUUUGUUUACUUUCUAGUAUAAUAAGACAAUAAUAUGAUAAUAUCACUUUCCAAGGCAAAGGUUGGAUGGAUUUGCUUGCAGUCCAUAAUAAAAGAUUGGGAGUUUUUUUGUUUCUUUGUUUGUUUGUUUGUUUUGCAGGAUAGGGUGGAAUGGUGACAGAAGGAGCUGUAUGAAUAAGAAGCUUAUGCUGCCUGCUCUGCUGUGAGUAAUAGAACCCUCUGUUUGUAACCUGGUAGUCUCGUGUCUUCUGCCAGAUCUAUGAACUGUGGCAGACUUUUAAGUGGGUAAAAUCUAAAGACUCUUUACAAUUCUUAACACUUUGCAGAGAAGUGAAUUCUGGAAAAAUGUAGUUACAGCUUAGCUAAAUUGACAACACAAAUCCACGGCAGAGGGCCCAAGGGAGAGAGGAGGAAGGGGAGAAGGAGAAGAGGGGGCAGGAAAGAGCCCAAAUGUGGCAAAAUGUUAGCAAAUGGUGCAUCGAGAUGAAAGCUAUGUCAGUAUUCAUAGUACUAUUCUUUCAACUGAAAUUUCACAAAGUAAAAAAGAGGGGAAAAUCGCUUAGACUGCUGUGUGAGACAACAGAGUGGGAAGACCUGAAGCCAGGAUAUUAGUUACGAAAUCUCAAAAAGCUGUCCAAACCACAAACCAGAAAUCUGGUUUCGAGCCAUUUUAUCUGCUUCCUUUCCCACAUCAAAACUAU